UUUCUCUGAAGCUCUCUCUCGAUCCAUUUUCUCUGAAGCUCUAUCUCAAUCCAUUUUCUUUGAAGUUGUUCUCGGUGUUACCAUUUAUCUAAAGCGUUGAAAAGUGGUAAGCAAUCUUUGUCAUCCCAUCAUGGAGCACGUGAUUGAUGGCAAGUUUAAAUUGGGAACGGGUCUUUUGGGGAGCUCUAUUUAGGUGUUAAUAUAUAAACUGGAGAGAAGAUGGCUGUUAAGCUGAUGUUUGAUGAUUGUGGUGUAUCAAGGAAAGAAAUGAGUGAGACAUUUAUGAAAGCAUCAGUUAAUCCAACUGGCGAGGAUUUGAAGAAACGAAGAAAGUCAACAAGCAAUAUGAAACACCAAAAACAUAUAUGGUGCUUUAAAGGAACAAGAUGCUCUAUUUGAAGAACUUGAAGAAGAGUUAUUUGCAUUGCAGGCCGAGCUGCUUGAAGAGAAUAAUAAAGAUGAUGGUGAUUACAGUACACCAUGUAAAGAACAUGACAAUUACAAUGACUUUGCAUGUGAGGGAGGAAUUUACAGCCAUGAAACCGUUAUGAAGGAAGGACUACGCCGAAAGUGUUACAAAAGCAAAGCUUGUAGAACUCCUUACACUGGAAUAGUCCAAGACUUUAUUUAUCUAUGUAAUUUGUAUUUGGAAGAA
Molecule: long non-coding RNA, 655 nt
Organism: Vigna radiata var. radiata (mung bean)
Lineage: Eukaryota; Viridiplantae; Streptophyta; Magnoliopsida; Fabales; Fabaceae
Exons: 3
Source: RefSeq, a predicted model, not a curated record